Long non-coding RNA from Anolis carolinensis (green anole), 2134 nucleotides. RefSeq lists it as uncharacterized. The record is from RefSeq and is a predicted model, not a curated record. Lineage: Eukaryota; Metazoa; Chordata; Lepidosauria; Squamata; Anolidae. The transcript is spliced from 2 exons.
AAGGGAAACUCACCACAUUUCCUCAACACUCAAAAUCCAAAUGUUUCUACCAUUUUGCAAGUGUGUAUUAUUUCCAUCCUUAUUCUGCUCUCCCUCUUUCCUAGACAGAAUUGGGUCCCCACCUAAUUCCACACCGCAGAUGCCAUACAAACGCCAUGCACAUGGAUGUCCUUGCAGCAUCACCCCAGUGCAGCUGUGGAGAAAAGCAGAUACCUUCCGUGUCACUUGAACUAAAUUGCAGCCUUUGUUUGGGAGUCGACAGGGAAGCAAAACUGUUUCUGUGUUUUCUUCCUACAAGUGGGAAGUGUGAUGAGUAUGGGCAAGAGAGCACCGGUGAAGAAGGGAGACGUGAGCAAAUGACCCGUGAGCAGGUGUUUCAAUGCACUGAUACACUUCUAAAUUAACUCUGGUCCUAGAGUUGGAGUAGAUCACCAGGGGCAUCCAUCAAACCCCGCUCUGAAGACUGACACAGUUGUGUUUCUGGCUGUUCCUCAUCUCUUCUGAUAAUGAACUGAAUCUGUGGCUCUGAACGUACCAAAUGAUCCCUGGGUCCUUCUGCUCCUUGGUGUAGCCUUCCUCCAAGCAUCUCCCUCUGGUCUGUUUCUCCUCCAGGAGAGUCUGCUCUGCUGGGGCCAAGGCAACCUCUUCCUCACUAAUAGGCAGAGUGCGGCAUAGUUGUUAUUAGGCUUGUGCAAUCUGGUGAACAAGUAACUAAGAGUGCCUUCUAGAUUGUAGAACGAAUAAGCUUGGCCGCACAUUACCUGCCAUGGCUCAGUGCUUUGGCUGCGGAGGCGAAGAACCUACCAAACAGCAACGGCAUGGAUCCUGCAGCAGAUAUGCGCCUCUUAUCCGACUGAUGGAUCCCCAUCCACACACAAAGGUGAGAACACUCUGACUGCAGCUGCCACACAAUUUGUAUCGCAAGGUGUUAUUUUGUUUUAUGGGGAGAUCAUGCACAAAGGAGAGACAACGAUGAGGCAAGACAAGCCCUUGCAUCAAUAACACCGGGAGAAAUGCUAAGUGUUACUGAUUCGAACUUUUCUCCAUUUCAUUUGCUCUCCUGCAUUUCACUCAUUUUUUUCCCAGAGAAUAAUACACCAGAAGAGAGACAAGCAAGACACCUUUUGUUCUCCUGUUUUUCAGAGCAACAAAUGACUAGUUUUCCACUCCUCCUUUUCAAAAAGAGCAGCAUAAUUCUGUUUCCAGCAAGAUAAAUGCACCAGAGAAGACAACGCAAGACACACCGCCGCCGCUCUGAAAGAAAGAACACAAACAUCAUCUAAUUAAUUCAGUUCUGUUUUACUGCACAGAAAGCAUAGUUUUCCCAGGCGAGGGAUUUUCUUGUCAGGGGCAUGAGGUUAUGCUGAGCAGAAAGGUGAUGUUGCCCACCUGAAUGUCAGGUUGAAUGCCAUUGAUACACUCACCUGCAAGGCUGCUUUAUCAGGCUCUGCACAAGUGCCCCAUUCACACACACACACACACACACCCAUGGCUAACAUUUCUUAUGCAGGGAAGGAUUUUUUUGGCACCUUCAAGGUUUCUCUUGGCCCCUGGGAUUGUCACUGGGUGGACAUUACUCCCCUUGGCACAAGUAAGCCUAAGCAAGCCCAUUGGGGAUGUAUCAUUGGGUGCAUGAUGUUAGUAUGACCACCACAUUGUGAUGAUGAUGAUUGUCAUCCAUGGGAUCUCCCUUUCAGUUAAGUCAAAGGGUGCUGCUCACCAAUGGGUCUGCUUCAUCCUGGAAAGAAGUGACUAGUGGAGUGCUGCAGGGUUUGCUCCUGGUCCCAGUUCUGUUCAAGAUCUUUACUCAUGAAUUGGAUGAAGGUUUAGAGAGCGGGCUUAUCAAGUUCACAGAUAGGACCAAAUUGGGUGGGAGUGACAUACUCCAGAGGACAGGGUCAGGAUCCAAAGUGACCUCAACACACGAGAGAGCGGAUUGGCCAAAACUAACAAAAGGAAUUGACUUCUGAUUGUGAUUACUGUCUAUAUUUUUAUAUGUGUUAUUAUACUGUGAUUUUACUGUGUUGCUAUUUUUAUUGAUGUAAUACUGUUUUGGGCUUGGCCCAAUGUAAGCCACCCUGAGUCCUUUGGGAGAUGGAGCAGGGUAUAAAUAAAGUUAUUAUUAUUGUUGUUA